CAUUCCAAACUGGGUAUCUAGAGUGCAGGAGAGGAAAGCGGAAUUCCUAGUGUAGCGGUGAAAUGCGUAGAUAUUAGGAGGAACACCAGUGGCGAAGGCGGCUUUCUGGACUGUAACUGACACUGAGGCAUGAAAGCGUGGGUAGCAAACAGGAUUAGAUACCCUGGUAGUCCACGCCGUAAACGAUGGGUACUAGGUGUAGGAGGUAUCGACCCCUUCUGUGCCGCCGUUAACACAAUAAGUACCCCGCCUAGGGAGUACGGUCGCAAGACUAAAACUCAAAGGAAUUGGACGGGGGCCCGCACAAGCAGCGGAGCAUGUGGUUUAAUUCGAAGCAACGCGAAGAACCUUACCUAGACUUGACAUCUCCUGAAUUACCCUUAAUCGGGGAAGCCCUUCGGGGCAGGAAGACAGGUGGUGCAUGGUUGUCGUCAGCUCGUGUCGUGAGAUGUUGGGUUAAGUCCCGCAACGAGCGCAAUCCUUAUUUUUAGUUGCUACCAUUUGGUUGAGCACUCUAAAGAGACUGCCCGGGUUAACCGGGAGGAAGGUGGGGAUGACGUCAAAUCAUCAUGCCCCUUAUGUCUAGGGCUACACACGUGCUACAAUGGUGAGAACAAAGAGACGCAAGACCGCGAGGUGGAGCCAAUCUCACAAAACUCAUCCCAGUUCGGAUUGCAGGCUGAAACUCGCCUGCAUGAAGCCGGAGUUGCUAGUAAUCGCGAAUCAGCAUGUCGCGGUGAAUACGUUCCCGGGCCUUGUACACACCGCCCGUCACACCAUGAGAGUUGGCAAUACCCGAAGUCCGUGGGAUAACCGCAAGGAGUC
Molecule: ribosomal RNA, 825 nt
Filed under: uncultured bacterium
Lineage: Bacteria
Description: bacterial SSU rRNA
Rfam family: Bacterial small subunit ribosomal RNA
Source: RNAcentral